AUGCAUAGACGAUAUAUAUGUUACAUGCUUGCUUCUUGGAAAUGGUCGUCUCUAAUGGCACUACGUCAUUGGAGUUUGUUAAGAAUACUACCUCAUCUUCGUUUUGAAAUAUUUGUUGAUAAAUCGCAAGACCUGAGCUGCGAAUUUCCACCACCAAUUUACACACAUUCUACCUUCCUUAUUGUUAACCAUUAUUUCUUCACUGUAGAACAGUUCGUGUUAGACCAUCGACUUGGUGUUUCUGUUAGAUAUUUGCUGAAAGUCGCAAGAUUUGACCAGUCAACGUUCUACAAGUUCUACUUGUUAGUAGUUGAUUAA
This 318-nucleotide ribosomal RNA is filed under the name Triticum aestivum (bread wheat). RNAcentral's name for it is "partial small subunit ribosomal RNA". The record is from RNAcentral. Lineage: Eukaryota; Viridiplantae; Streptophyta; Magnoliopsida; Poales; Poaceae.